UGCCCAAGAGUUCACAUCGACGGCAAGGUUUGGCACCUCGAUGUCGGCUCAUCGCAUCCUGGGGCUGGAGCAGGUCCCAAGGGUUUGGCUGUUCGCCCAUUAAAGCGGUACGCGAGCUGGGUUCAGAACGUCGUGAGACAGUUCGGUCCCUAUCUGCCAUGGGCGUUGGAGAGUUGAGAGGAGUCGUCCCUAGUACGAGAGGACCGGGAUGAACGGACCUCUGGUGUACCAGUUGUCCCGCCAGGGGCAUCGCUGGUUAGCUACGUCCGGAUGGGAUAACCGCUGAAAGCAUCUAAGCGGGAAGCCCACCUCGAGAUGAGCUCUCCCAUCCCCUUUGAGGGAGUAAGGACCCUGGAAGACCACCAGGUGAUAGGCCGGAUGUGUAAGCGCGGUGACGCGCUCAGCAGACCGGUACUAAUUGUCCGAGGGCUUGACGGA
Molecule: ribosomal RNA, 438 nt
Filed under: Solirubrobacterales bacterium
Lineage: Bacteria; Bacillati; Actinomycetota; Thermoleophilia; Solirubrobacterales
Description: partial 23S ribosomal RNA
Rfam family: Bacterial large subunit ribosomal RNA
Source: RNAcentral